RNAcentral lists this ribosomal RNA (252 nucleotides) under uncultured bacterium. RNAcentral's name for it is "partial 16S ribosomal RNA". It matches the Rfam family "Bacterial small subunit ribosomal RNA", at positions 524 to 776 of the family's 1533-position model. The record is from RNAcentral.
UACGUAGGUCCCGAGCGUUGUCCGGAUUUAUUGGGCGUAAAGCGAGCGCAGGUGGUUUAUUAAGUCUGGUGUAAAAGGCAGUGGCUCAACCAUUGUAUGCAUUGGAAACUGGUAGACUUGAGUGCAGGAGAGGAGAGUGGAAUUCCAUGUGUAGCGGUGAAAUGCGUAGAUAUAUGGAGGAACACCGGUGGCGAAAGCGGCACUCUGGCCUGUAACUGACACUGAGGCUCGAAAGCGUGGGGAGCAAACAGG